CUUCUGAGUCAGCACCUUUUUGCUGGGGGCUGUUCAUUAACAUUUCUUUGAGGUGGACUUUGGCCUAGGGCCUUUUCGGGACUUCCAUGAGUUGUCCUGUGUUUUCCCUGAGUCAUUCUCCGCAUGGUCUCCAUUUUAGAUUUCACUCAAUAUUAGACCCGGAUUUAUCUAACUACACUGACUACCUAACUUUAAAUCUGGCUUCAUUCCCCCCUCUAAGUUGGGAACUCCUUACUGCUGUAAGGAAGGGGGGUGAAGAAGAUCUUUCUGGCUUCUUCAGGCUGAAAAGGGACAGUGUGGGGCAAGCAGUUUGGAGUCCCCCUUUAAAAAUCGGGUCUAUCGAGUGGUCCAUGAUAGAAGUCUGAUUGAGAAGUAAUAGGCUGGAGGGCCAUUUGAGUGAUGGACGGUCUAUAAGAGAAACAAGAAUUCAUUAGUACUGGAACCAUAUUGAUGCAGCAAUAAACGCCAUAGCACAGGAAUAUGCCAAUGAGUAUGAUGGCAAAGACAAAGACUAACAAUGUUUUCCACCAGGAAGUACCAAGAACUAGGAGAUAAGAUAUUGUUUCCAUGACAAAGUUGCUGAGGACAUGGCUUCUAUCUGAGCAUGUAAAUCUUUAAGGAUAUUUGUCACAUUGCCAGAAAUGUCAGGGAUGUAAACACAACAUUUAACGUUUAGGGUUACAGAUGUCCUUUCCCUUAAGAUAUAGUUUAAUAAUUUAAUGUCAUCUGAUCUUGCAAAAUCCUUUUACUAGUAUGACCUCUGUGUCUAAUAGAGAAAUCUUUAAUUCUGUUACUUAGGGCUGGAUAACCAUACUUGCAAACACUAAGCCUACCUGUGUAGGUUAGAAAUAAAGGCCUUAAACUAAAAACUACUCUGGCA
Molecule: long non-coding RNA, 880 nt
Filed under: Marmota monax (woodchuck)
Lineage: Eukaryota; Metazoa; Chordata; Mammalia; Rodentia; Sciuridae
Source: RNAcentral